Molecule: long non-coding RNA, 1445 nt
Organism: Prinia subflava (tawny-flanked prinia)
Lineage: Eukaryota; Metazoa; Chordata; Aves; Passeriformes; Cisticolidae
Exons: 6
Source: RefSeq, a predicted model, not a curated record
AGAUUCAACUAGGAGCUCUUAUAUGAACAAAAUUGUCUGGUGGAAAAGGAAGGAGAAUGUCAAAUGGAAGUCUGGAUCUUUUUCUGAUUUGUACCAAAGCACAGGAAACUUUGCAUUUGAUCAUAACAAGCUUCCUGAUUGAGGCUGUUUGGCUCCUGGAAAGACACACACAAGUUACAGCUGGUGGAUGUCCAACGUGCCUGCACUGCCUUGGAGAAAACCCAGCAGAGCCUUGAAUGUCAAAACUAAAGCCUUGAGAGAAAUAGAUAUAUAAAUAUUCCAGCUGUCUCCUGACUUACUUCCUGGGCAUAAAUUCGUGAAGAAAAGAACAACACCUGUUUAAUUUCUUCUAACAGUGAUGAAUUUAUGUGGCAGGACAGGAUGUCUUAGUCCUGUGAUUCAGUGAUACUUUUGAGGACAUGCGGGAAUUAUCAGCUAAUAACCUCUGUGUCUCUGAAGUGAAAAGGCCUGAAAGAAAAUGAGGAAUCCUGAAAAUCUGAGUUCUAAAAGGAAGGUUAAACCAUCAGUACAAUACAAACAGCAUGGAAAUUACAAUGAAAAAAAAAAGUCCAUUUAACAUAUUUUUUUCCUCUGGAAUUUCCACAGACACUUAUUUGAAAGAAACCAGUUAUUUUUCAAACAAGAAGCAUGUAUAAGUGGUUUGGAAAUAUCAAGAUAACAUCCACGGGUAGUGCAGCCAGAGGUUCUCCCAGUGCUGGGUGGGUUAUUAUCUCCUUGAUGUACAAUGAUCAUCCAGUCAGGAGCAUUGCAACAUUUUAGGGGGCAUCGUCAGACCCAAACAGAACAUGUCACAGGAAUGGAAGAGAGGGAUUUGAGUUCAUGACAAAAAAUUGAACUGUGGUGAAGAAUUACAGGAAUUGGAUAAUUUUUGUGGUAAGUUGGUGAAUUGUCCAGUGGUUAGAACAAGAUUUAUGAGGGAGGAACUGAAAUAAAAAAGAAAGUAAAGGCAUGUUUUGCUCUAAUAUCUGUCUGUGAAAUCCUCUGAAAGUACAAGACUUCCCAGCAUGUCUCUGUCCUAAAGUCUUGGUGAUUCUGUUGCUCUGUAUAAUGAAAAUACCCAUUAUAUUAAUAGAGUGAAAGAGUGUGGAAUAAGAUGUAAGUGGGAGUAUCAGUGCAUUGAGAAUGCCAAAACUUGUAAGGAAUCACUCUAACUUAAUCUUAGGCUAUCUUUGUAGUUAGAAGGGGAUCAGUCAUGGCAUAAACACUGGGAGGGUUGGCUUCAUAACCUAAUAGUAAUCUGAAAGGUAUUGUCUGAUAAUAAAGCUCUGAAAAAUAAAUAUGCUUUCCCAAAAUGUUGCUAUGACUGUGUAUCUUUGGAAGGUCUGUGUUGUUAUUCUGAGUUCCUUUUCACAGCCUGAUUGGAAGCCACUUUUUAACUCUCUCCAGCAAAUUUUCCUCCUACUGCAGUCUCUUUAAAAGCCAAG